CUGGCUAGACCCGCGCGCAGGCGGAAAGCCCUACGCUCCGCAGCAGUGACAACAGCGGUAGACUGGGUCUCUUUUUUCCCCCUUUCAUUUCUCUUCUUUCUUUCUUUCUUCUUUCUUUUUUUUUCUUUUUGAGUCGGGGUCUCAUUCGGGCAGGCUGGCCUCUAACGUCCUGCGUUUUAGGUUCCCAGGCGCCACUACGUUGGGCUUGCCAGGCAGUUUCAUGACCGUCUUUUUUGAGGUGCGUUCCCAAGCCAAGCGGAAACUCGAGAAGAUUGGCCCAUUGUUAAGAUCUUUCUGCCCUCAGAAGAAAGAGGGCUCAAGGAGUUCCUGUGGGACUUGAUUCCUGUCCCAAGACCUGAGACUUUUUCCUGAGUCCGGAAGAUAGCAGGGAGUGGUUUCCAGACAUUAUUCUAGAAGGGAACAAUUGGAAGAAACUUUCUGUCACAGCGUAAGAAAAAGGCCUAUUGACAGGUAGCUGUGUGUCGGAUCUCCUACCCUGCCCUGCUGUGGAAUCAAUCAGAUGAGUGAAGACCCUGCUGGGAGUUGUGAAUUAAUUUCUUUGGAUGCUCAAGCCCUAAAUCAAGUCAUGAAAGGAACAGUCAUGUUGUCAAAUGUCAGGCUGCCUCAGGCUUGUGACCCUGCUGCCAUCACCUUUAAAGUGUUGGGAUGACAGAUCAGAAAGUUACCAGACAGGUGAGCAGGCAGAGGACAACAGAGGCCCCACCCUCCACCACACCUGGGCAGAG
This is a long non-coding RNA of Rattus norvegicus (Norway rat), 746 nucleotides long. Lineage: Eukaryota; Metazoa; Chordata; Mammalia; Rodentia; Muridae. The record is from Ensembl.